CAAUAGCGUAUAUUAAAGUUGUUGCGGUUAAAAAGCUCGUAGUUGGAUUUCUGCUGAGGACGACCGGUCCGCCCUCUGGGUGAGUAUCUGGCUUGGCCUUGGCAUCUUCUUGGAGAACGUAGCUGCACUUGACUGUGUGGUGCGGUAUCCAGGACUUUUACCUUGAGGAAAUAGGAGUGUUCCAAGCAGGCUCUCGUCGUGCACAGCUCAGCAUGGAAUAAUAGCAUUGGACCUCGAUUCUAAGCUGUUGGUUGCCAGAAGCGAGGUAAUGAUGAAGAGGGAUAGUUGGGGGCAUUCGUAUUUAACUGUCAGAGGUGAAAUUCUUGGAUUUGUUGAAGACGGACUACUGCGAAAGCAUCUGCCAAAGAUGUUCUCAUUGAUCAAGAACGAAAGUUAGGUGAUCGAAGACGAUCAGAUACCGU
This 422-nucleotide ribosomal RNA is filed under the name uncultured eukaryote. Its description in RNAcentral is "SSU rRNA". It matches the Rfam family "Eukaryotic small subunit ribosomal RNA", at positions 592 to 1018 of the family's 1831-position model. The record is from RNAcentral.